UGGAAUUAUAGCUCAGUUGGUAGAGCGUUGGUUUGAAGCACCGAAGGUCGCAGGUUCAAUUCCUGCUGAUUCCAU
RNAcentral lists this transfer RNA (75 nucleotides) under Streptococcus anginosus. Its description in RNAcentral is "tRNA-Phe(gaa)". It matches the Rfam family "tRNA". From Rfam's summary of the family: Transfer RNA (tRNA) molecules are approximately 80 nucleotides in length. Their secondary structure includes four short double-helical elements and three loops (D, anti-codon, and T loops). Further hydrogen bonds mediate the characteristic L-shaped molecular structure. tRNAs have two regions of fundamental functional importance: the anti-codon, which is responsible for specific mRNA codon recognition, and the 3' end, to which the tRNAs corresponding amino acid is attached (by aminoacyl-tRNA synthetases). tRNAs cope with the degeneracy of the genetic code in two manners: having more than one tRNA (with a specific anti-codon) for a particular amino acid; and 'wobble' base-pairing, i.e. permitting non-standard base-pairing at the 3rd anti-codon position. The record is from RNAcentral. Lineage: Bacteria; Bacillati; Bacillota; Bacilli; Lactobacillales; Streptococcaceae.